Small nucleolar RNA from Trifolium pratense (red clover), 84 nucleotides. RefSeq annotates it as small nucleolar RNA snoR138. NCBI's taxonomy places the organism in Eukaryota, Viridiplantae, Streptophyta, Magnoliopsida, Fabales, Fabaceae. The transcript has a single exon. The record is from RefSeq and is a predicted model, not a curated record.
UUUGCCUUCGAAUAACUAAAUGACUAUAUAUAAUAUAAAUGUUGUUUAGUUCAGACAGAGGCACAUAUCAAAUAUUAAAUAUCU